UUUUGAUCCCAAGAAACUCCAGUUAUCCAGUCCUAAAUAUCUGGUCACUAAUAUAUCACUCAGAUUCCUAAUGUUUACAUCUAUCUCCUGACCAGUGAGCUGACAUUUCCAGAAUAUUUCCCACAAUGAGCCAGAGAACACUUGAGAGUCUAGGAACAGGAAGAACACACCUGCUGUUAAUAAAUUGUUCAUUUUCUGUGUAUUGGGAGAAUUGGAAAUUUCCAUAUACAUGGUAUUAAAGGAUGGUGCUUCGCAACAGGAUUGAAUUUGGAGAUAUGUUCAAUUACUUUGAUACUUUCCUCACAAUUUUCCUGAUAAAAAUGACUCUCUAAAUGCAUUGCAAUGUGCACCAAACUUUAGUAUGUUUAUGUUUUACUGUUUCAAGGCUUUUAUAAUGCUGUCAUAAGGGUACAAGUCUCUUUCCUAUUACUUUUACAGGCACUUUUACUACUUACCCACUUCUAGCAGAAGUCUAUCUUCCCUCUGAGGAUUUAAACUAAAACAUAGUGGUUUUAAAUUUUUUUUCUCUAUCAAGCUCAUAAAAUAGAAAUUAUUAUCAUUAUUACUUCAUAAAAUAUAAUUUUGUUCAUUAGAGAUAUAUAAGCAAAGAAAUUGCUUAAUAAAAAAGUUUUCCCAUCUGUACAGCUGUGGAAUGUAUCCUUGAAUGUUACUAAAAAGGCCAAUUGUGACAUAAUUCAGAUGAGAUACCAGACAAGAAAAGUAAUCUAAGGUCCUCUGUUAUUGUUCUUAUGAAAAUUGGAAUUUUUCCUGCAUUGCAAUAGUUUGAAUACAUUCUACUACAAUGGGGAUUUUUCUUUUUUUUCUCUCUCCCCUCUAACAAGAAUGAAUCAAUAAAAAUGACAUCCAGUAGAGUAUCUUCAGAGCUUCAGAAAUAAAACAAUUGCUUUUCCUAAAAUUACUAGACUUCCAGGAUGAAAAUGGGAAAAUUUCUGUACUUAUGUCCAUAAGUAUAAUUUGUACAAAAGGAACUAACCAUUCUUGAAUGCACAUCUUUUGCCUUUUGUGGUGGCACAUUUCCAGGUAGCUCUCAUAUAAAAUAAUUGCAGCAAGCAAAUAGACAAAUCCUUGUUGAAGGAGGCAUAAUGGAAAACACAUAGAAUGAAUAUGGUUGUCUAUAUGUUUACUGUUUUCCAUCUGAACUAGCUGUAAUGUUGUGGUUUGAUAAACUUCUGGUACUUUUUUUUGGAUGAUUUUUACAAAGUUAAUAAUGUAUAUAUGUAGUAAUGUAUAUGGGCUUAUGAAUCUCCACAUCUUUGUCUUGUAAAUUUGUUUUUUGCAUACUGUUGUUUAUAUUCAAAAAUUGAAAGAUCUUAGUGCCUGGGUGUGAAGGAAUUUUUGUUUUCAGAGAAUUAAAAAUAAGAUGAGAGAGAACCAUUUACAAAAUGAUUUUUGUCUGCUGUUUAGUUGACAUGACAUCAAGACAGCUUGCAAGACACAAGGAUGGAACUUGAGUCACUCCUUCAAUAACUCCUGAAGAACAUUCAGAUACUAAUUUUAGAGAGUCUAUAACAUGCAGUAAUAAAGACAUGGGAUGAAUCAUAACAGUGAAUAAUAUCUGGUACAUAACAGGGAAUAAUAUCU
Molecule: long non-coding RNA, 1602 nt
Filed under: Taeniopygia guttata (zebra finch)
Lineage: Eukaryota; Metazoa; Chordata; Aves; Passeriformes; Estrildidae
Description: lncRNA (ENSTGUG00000029028.1)
Source: RNAcentral